RNAcentral lists this ribosomal RNA (335 nucleotides) under Paraburkholderia sp. RNAcentral describes it as "bacterial SSU rRNA". It matches the Rfam family "Bacterial small subunit ribosomal RNA", at positions 568 to 903 of the family's 1533-position model. Lineage: Bacteria; Pseudomonadati; Pseudomonadota; Betaproteobacteria; Burkholderiales; Burkholderiaceae. The record is from RNAcentral.
UGCGCAGGCGGUUCGCUAAGACCGAUGUGAAAUCCCCGGGCUUAACCUGGGAACUGCAUUGGUGACUGGCGGGCUAGAGUAUGGCAGAGGGGGGUAGAAUUCCACGUGUAGCAGUGAAAUGCGUAGAGAUGUGGAGGAAUACCGAUGGCGAAGGCAGCCCCCUGGGCCAAUACUGACGCUCAUGCACGAAAGCGUGGGGAGCAAACAGGAUUAGAUACCCUGGUAGUCCACGCCCUAAACGAUGUCAACUAGUUGUCGGGUCUUCAUUGACUUGGUAACGAAGCUAACGCGUGAAGUUGACCGCCUGGGGAGUACGGUCGCAAGAUUAAAACUCA